AAUUAGAACUUUUCUUGAUUGCAUAAUUCUUGCGACUUGGACAAUAUCUUCUCAAGGCACACAAAACCGUGUCUAACAUAAACAAACUGACAAAGCACAACACUAAUAAAUUCGGAAGGAAUGAAGAAAAGGGUCACUAGAGCUAUGAUGGAUCUAAUAAAAUAAAAAAUAAGCCCAAAAACUAAGUUAUCACAGUUUCAUCACUGUCACUUGGUAGCAUUGCACAGCCAGCACUUUAACCAGAGCUCCCAUUAAUACAAAGAUUGCACAACAGCAAGUGCAAUGAACCAUUUACGAAACUGAUUGGCCUCAUCACACGCCUGACUUGCGCAAUUCAGCGGCCCCAUGAGCAAAGUGGCAUCUUUGACCAAAGCUGCAAGAUCCUUUGCUAAAAUUUUCACAUAUCUUGGUUUUAUAGUUGCUUCCUGGAUGGGCAUGGCCGCCCCCGGGCACUCCAGUAGUUUUUGCUGAGGCAUUUGCAGAACUAACACUGGCAAUUAGCUCCGAAACCAUGGCACUAGCUUGCUUAAUCUGUUCAAAUGAUCC
This 546-nucleotide unclassified non-coding RNA is filed under the name Hevea brasiliensis (rubber tree). The record is from RNAcentral. Lineage: Eukaryota; Viridiplantae; Streptophyta; Magnoliopsida; Malpighiales; Euphorbiaceae.